This 1330-nucleotide ribosomal RNA is filed under the name Lactiplantibacillus plantarum. Its description in RNAcentral is "bacterial SSU rRNA". It matches the Rfam family "Bacterial small subunit ribosomal RNA", at positions 59 to 1354 of the family's 1533-position model. Lineage: Bacteria; Bacillati; Bacillota; Bacilli; Lactobacillales; Lactobacillaceae. The record is from RNAcentral.
CAGUCGAACGAACUCUGGUAUUGAUUGGUGCUUGCAUCAUGACUUUACAUUUGAGUGAGUGGCGAACUGGUGAGUAACACGUGGGAAACCUGCCCAGAAGCGGGGGAUAACACCUGGAAACAGAUGCUAAUACCGCAUAACAACUUGGACCGCAUGGUCCGAGUUUGAAAGAUGGCUUCGGCUAUCACUUUUGGAUGGUCCCGCGGCGUAUUAGCUAGAUGGUGGGGUAACGGCUCACCAUGGCAAUGAUACGUAGCCGACCUGAGAGGGUAAUCGGCCACAUUGGGACUGAGACACGGCCCAAACUCCUACGGGAGGCAGCAGUAGGGAAUCUUCCACAAUGGACGAAAGUCUGAUGGAGCAACGCCGCGUGAGUGAAGAAGGGUUUCGGCUCGUAAAACUCUGUUGUUAAAGAAGAACAUAUCUGAGAGUAACUGUUCAGGUAUUGACGGUAUUUAACCAGAAAGCCACGGCUAACUACGUGCCAGCAGCCGCGGUAAUACGUAGGUGGCAAGCGUUGUCCGGAUUUAUUGGGCGUAAAGCGAGCGCAGGCGGUUUUUUAAGUCUGAUGUGAAAGCCUUCGGCUCAACCGAAGAAGUGCAUCGGAAACUGGGAAACUUGAGUGCAGAAGAGGACAGUGGAACUCCAUGUGUAGCGGUGAAAUGCGUAGAUAUAUGGAAGAACACCAGUGGCGAAGGCGGCUGUCUGGUCUGUAACUGACGCUGAGGCUCGAAAGUAUGGGUAGCAAACAGGAUUAGAUACCCUGGUAGUCCAUACCGUAAACGAUGAAUGCUAAGUGUUGGAGGGUUUCCGCCCUUCAGUGCUGCAGCUAACGCAUUAAGCAUUCCGCCUGGGGAGUACGGCCGCAAGGCUGAAACUCAAAGGAAUUGACGGGGGCCCGCACAAGCGGUGGAGCAUGUGGUUUAAUUCGAAGCUACGCGAAGAACCUUACCAGGUCUUGACAUACUAUGCAAAUCUAAGAGAUUAGACGUUCCCUUCGGGGACAUGGAUACAGGUGGUGCAUGGUUGUCGUCAGCUCGUGUCGUGAGAUGUUGGGUUAAGUCCCGCAACGAGCGCAACCCUUAUUAUCAGUUGCCAGCAUUAAGUUGGGCACUCUGGUGAGACUGCCGGUGACAAACCGGAGGAAGGUGGGGAUGACGUCAAAUCAUCAUGCCCCUUAUGACCUGGGCUACACACGUGCUACAAUGGAUGGUACAACGAGUUGCGAACUCGCGAGAGUAAGCUAAUCUCUUAAAGCCAUUCUCAGUUCGGAUUGUAGGCUGCAACUCGCCUACAUGAAGUCGGAAUCGCUAGUAAUCGCGGAUCAGCA